AAUAAGUGCGGCCAUGGUUUUUCGCGUCUAACUUUGAUCAUUCGUCUUAUUUAAUUUUUUUAAAAAAAAUUAAAAACAUAAGUCAUGAGUAAAGUAUUAUUCAUGUUUUAUCAUCUUAUAAAAACAAAAAUGCUAAUUAUAAAAAAAUUUCAAAUAAGACGGAUGAUCAAAGUUGGACGUGGAAACUUAUGGCUGCACUUAUU
Molecule: microRNA precursor, 203 nt
Filed under: Oryza rufipogon (brownbeard rice)
Lineage: Eukaryota; Viridiplantae; Streptophyta; Magnoliopsida; Poales; Poaceae
Description: MIR812 microRNA precursor family
Rfam family: MIR812 microRNA precursor family
Source: Rfam by way of RNAcentral